GUGUUCACUCCAGCAGCACAUAAACUAAAAUUGAAAUAAUACAGAGAGCAUUAGCAUGGCCCCUGUGCAAGGAUGACAUGAAAAUUCAUGAAGUGUUCCAGGCUUUA
This is a small nuclear RNA of Monodelphis domestica (gray short-tailed opossum), 107 nucleotides long. NCBI's taxonomy places the organism in Eukaryota, Metazoa, Chordata, Mammalia, Didelphimorphia, Didelphidae. The record is from Ensembl.